RNAcentral lists this small nucleolar RNA (81 nucleotides) under Castor canadensis (American beaver). RNAcentral's name for it is "Small nucleolar RNA SNORD115 (ENSCCNG00000017331.1)". It matches the Rfam family "Small nucleolar RNA SNORD115". From Rfam's summary of the family: HBII-52 is a member of the C/D class of snoRNAs, which contain the C (UGAUGA) and D (CUGA) box motifs. HBII-52 is encoded in a tandemly repeated array with another C/D snoRNA, HBII-85, in the Prader-Willi syndrome (PWS) region of chromosome 15. Lineage: Eukaryota; Metazoa; Chordata; Mammalia; Rodentia; Castoridae. The record is from Rfam by way of RNAcentral.
GGGUCAAUGUUGAAACCUUACAUUGUCUUGAAGAGAGGUGAUGACAAAAUAAUUAUGCUCAAUAGCAUUACAUCAAGGCCC